GGUUUUUGCAAAAGUAUCUUUGCGCUUGGGGCAAUGACGCAGCUAGUGAGGUAAUAACCGAGGCGCGUCAAUUGCUGGUUGAAAACUAUUUCCAAACCCCCUCCUCGGCCUGGGCUUGACCUUGGCCGUCGAGAAUUUCUGGAAGGGCUCUCUUUCGAGGGUAAAGCCCUACAAUUCUUAGUCUAAAUUUUAAUCUUCAUUAUAUAAAUAAUUAUUAAUAUUAAAUUGAUUAUACCCAAAUGUAACGAUGUAAAUCAUAAUCUCUCGAUGUUGGUUUAAUUUUGUAGAUUAUGCUAUAAAUAUGCUCAAUUUGAUAGCUAAAUAAAAUUGGCGUCACAACUCAGAAUUGAAAAGAAAAAGUUUAAGAAAAAGUUUGUUUUGAAUUAUUCAAGCCCAUACCAGAACUGUCUAUAAUCAAAGGUAAAUUGCUAUGAUAGUUAUAUAAUGAUGCACAUUUUAAUCAUAUUGUUGGGUUGUUUUAAUUUUUAAUCCUUAAUUAUGUUGGGGAGUUGCUAAAAAUUGGAUAUUGAAAGUUAGUUAGUAAUCUGGUUAUAUUUUAUAUUUGUAUUGUCUUGGAGUUCAUUAAUGCACACAACCUGUUUGAUGAAAUGCCCAGCUGAAGGUGGACUAAAUUUUGGGUUGAUUGAAUCAUUACACUUACAGAAAGUGUAAUUCUUUUGGUAAAUCAUCAUGGAAUUGGGGCAAUAUUUUCUAGAUGGUAAUCCGGAUGCUGUCGAGUUCUGUCCUCAUGACGGGUUUCUGAACAUCCUAGCUGUUUCUACAUAUACUUUACAAGAGGGUGAUCAGCCAAGUCGAUUGGGGAGCAUUUCAUUGUUUGAUGUCAAUGGUAGUAGCUGCAGUCUCGACCGUAUUGGUAGUGUUGAAACUGCUGGUAUCUUUGAUAUUAAAUGGAACCCGGUUGGGGGUGGCGCGAGUCCUUUGCUUGCUCAAGCUGAUGCUGAUGGGUGCUUGAGGAUUCAUGGUCUUGAGUGUUCUUCAAAUGGAACAAGUUUGACAGGUUUGAUAAUCUCUUCUACUUCUGAAGGGGCCUUACUUAAAGAGAGCUGUGGCAUUCAUAUCAGCUCCUCGAUGUGCCUUUGCUUAGAUUGGAACCCCUCAGCCAUGUCACUAGCAGUUGGGCUUUCUGAUGGCUCUGUCUCUGUUGCCUCUCUCACAGAAUCAGAACUCAUUGAAGAUCAACAAUGGAAAGAUCAUGACUUUGAGGUUUGGGCUGCUUCCUUUGACACCCACCAGCAAUCUAUUUUAUAUACUGGUUCAGAUGACUGCAAAUUUCUUGGCUGGGAUUUAAGAGACGGUUCUCCGAUGCCAGCAUUCAAAAACUCAAAGUCUCACAAAAUGGGUAUUUGUUGUAUUGUCAAGAACCCUAAUGACCCGUAUUCUUUACUUACUGGUAGCUAUGAUGAACACUUGAGGGUCUGGGAUGUCAGAUCAAUCUCAAAGCCCGUGAAUGAAACUUCUAUUGGUCUAGGGGGUGGAGUUUGGAGGAUCAAAUAUCAUCCUGUUAUUUCAGGCCUCGUUUUGGCAGCUUGUAUGCAUAAUGGAUUUGCCAUUGUCAAGACAACCGGUGAGAUUCCUGAGGUGAUCGAGACAUAUGACAAGCAUGGCUCGCUUGCCUAUGGAGCAGAUUGGCGGAGACACAGCUCAGAUGAGGAAGGGAAGAGGGAGGGUAAUGUGGUGGCUACUUGCUCAUUUUAUGAUCGGCUGGUUCGAGCGUGGAUCCCAGAGUCAGAUAUUCAUGCCUGAGGCUGUAAUUCUGAUUGUAUCAAAACUGGACCUUUUAACUUUCAAGUCAUCUUAGACUAGGAGCUUACGUUUCUCUGUGCAUACUACCAAGAGAAUUGAACCAUAUUUCAUCAGAUUGAUUGCAAUGUGAAGCAUACUUACUACGAAAAUUGCUCACAUAAACUUGACGGAUGCAAGGUUGAAAUUUUUGCACAAAUU
This is an RNA transcript of Beta vulgaris subsp. vulgaris (sugar beet), 1962 nucleotides long. RefSeq lists it as uncharacterized. The transcript has 3 exons. Lineage: Eukaryota; Viridiplantae; Streptophyta; Magnoliopsida; Caryophyllales; Amaranthaceae. The record is from RefSeq and is a predicted model, not a curated record.